Molecule: ribosomal RNA, 2903 nt
Filed under: human gut metagenome
Description: bacterial LSU rRNA
Rfam family: Bacterial large subunit ribosomal RNA
Source: RNAcentral
UUAAGCGACUAAGCGUACACGGUGGAUGCCCUGGCAGUCAGAGGCGAUGAAGGACGUGCUAAUCUGCGAUAAGCGUCGGUAAGGUGAUAUGAACCGUUAUAACCGGCGAUUUCCGAAUGGGGAAACCCAGUGUGAUUCGUCACACUAUCAUUAACUGAAUCCAUAGGUUAAUGAGGCGAACCGGGGGAACUGAAACAUCUAAGUACCCCGAGGAAAAGAAAUCAACCGAGAUUCCCCCAGUAGCGGCGAGCGAACGGGGAGCAGCCCAGAGUCUGAAUCAGCUUGUGUGUUAGUGGAACGGUCUGGAAAGUCCGACGGUACAGGGUGAUAGUCCCGUACACCAAAAUGCACAGGUUGUGAACUCGAAGAGUAGGGCGGGACACGUGGUAUCCUGUCUGAAUAUGGGGGGACCAUCCUCCAAGGCUAAAUACUCCUGACUGACCGAUAGUGAACCAGUACCGUGAGGGAAAGGCGAAAAGAACCCCGGCGAGGGGAGUGAAAAAGAACCUGAAACCGUGUACGUACAAGCAGUGGGAGCACGCUUAGGCGUGUGACUGCGUACCUUUUGUAUAAUGGGUCAGCGACUUAUAUUCUGUAGCAAGGUUAACCGUAUAGGGGAGCCGCAGGGAAACCGAGUCUUAACUGGGCGUUAAGUUGCAGGGUAUAGACCCGAAACCCGGUGAUCUAGCCAUGGGCAGGUUGAAGGUUGGGUAACACUAACUGGAGGACCGAACCGACUAAUGUUGAAAAAUUAGCGGAUGACUUGUGGCUGGGGGUGAAAGGCCAAUCAAACCGGGAGAUAGCUGGUUCUCCCCGAAAGCUAUUUAGGUAGCGCCUCGUGAAUUCAUCUCCGGGGGUAGAGCACUGUUUCGGCAAGGGGGUCAUCCCGACUUACCAACCCGAUGCAAACUGCGAAUACCGGAGAAUGUUAUCACGGGAGACACACGGCGGGUGCUAACGUCCGUCGUGAAGAGGGAAACAACCCAGACCGCCAGCUAAGGUCCCAAAGUCAUGGUUAAGUGGGAAACGAUGUGGGAAGGCCCAGACAGCCAGGAUGUUGGCUUAGAAGCAGCCAUCAUUUAAAGAAAGCGUAAUAGCUCACUGGUCGAGUCGGCCUGCGCGGAAGAUGUAACGGGGCUAAACCAUGCACCGAAGCUGCGGCAGCGACGCUGAUGCGUUGUUGGGUAGGGGAGCGUUCUGUAAGCCUGCGAAGGUGUGCUGUGAGGCAUGCUGGAGGUAUCAGAAGUGCGAAUGCUGACAUAAGUAACGAUAAAGCGGGUGAAAAGCCCGCUCGCCGGAAGACCAAGGGUUCCUGUCCAACGUUAAUCGGGGCAGGGUGAGUCGACCCCUAAGGCGAGGCCGAAAGGCGUAGUCGAUGGGAAACAGGUUAAUAUUCCUGUACUUGGUGUUACUGCGAAGGGGGGACGGAGAAGGCUAUGUUAGCCGGGCGACGGUUGUCCCGGUUUAAGCAUGUAGGCUGGUUAUCCAGGCAAAUCCGGAUAAUCAAGGCUGAGGUGUGAUGACGAGGCACUACGGUGCUGAAGCAACAAAUGCCCUGCUUCCAGGAAAAGCCUCUAAGCAUCAGGUAACAUCAAAUCGUACCCCAAACCGACACAGGUGGUCAGGUAGAGAAUACCAAGGCGCUUGAGAGAACUCGGGUGAAGGAACUAGGCAAAAUGGUGCCGUAACUUCGGGAGAAGGCACGCUGGUGUGUAGGUGAAGUCCCUGCGGAUGGAGCUGAGACCAGUCGAAGAUACCAGCUGGCUGCAACUGUUUAUUAAAAACACAGCACUGUGCAAACACGAAAGUGGACGUAUACGGUGUGACGCCUGCCCGGUGCCGGAAGGUUAAUUGAUGGGGUUAGCGGUAACGCGAAGCUCUUGAUCGAAGCCCCGGUAAACGGCGGCCGUAACUAUAACGGUCCUAAGGUAGCGAAAUUCCUUGUCGGGUAAGUUCCGACCUGCACGAAUGGCGUAAUGAUGGCCAGGCUGUCUCCACCCGAGACUCAGUGAAAUUGAACUCGCUGUGAAGAUGCAGUGUACCCGCGGCAAGACGGAAAGACCCCGUGAACCUUUACUAUAGCUUGACACUGAACAUUGAGCCUUGAUGUGUAGGAUAGGUGGGAGGCUUUGAAGUGUGGACGCCAGUCUGCAUGGAGCCGACCUUGAAAUACCACCCUUUAAUGUUUGAUGUUCUAACGUUGACCCGUAAUCCGGGUUGCGGACAGUGUCUGGUGGGUAGUUUGACUGGGGCGGUCUCCUCCUAAAGAGUAACGGAGGAGCACGAAGGUUGGCUAAUCCUGGUCGGACAUCAGGAGGUUAGUGCAAUGGCAUAAGCCAGCUUGACUGCGAGCGUGACGGCGCGAGCAGGUGCGAAAGCAGGUCAUAGUGAUCCGGUGGUUCUGAAUGGAAGGGCCAUCGCUCAACGGAUAAAAGGUACUCCGGGGAUAACAGGCUGAUACCGCCCAAGAGUUCAUAUCGACGGCGGUGUUUGGCACCUCGAUGUCGGCUCAUCACAUCCUGGGGCUGAAGUAGGUCCCAAGGGUAUGGCUGUUCGCCAUUUAAAGUGGUACGCGAGCUGGGUUUAGAACGUCGUGAGACAGUUCGGUCCCUAUCUGCCGUGGGCGCUGGAGAAUUGAGGGGGGCUGCUCCUAGUACGAGAGGACCGGAGUGGACGCAUCACUGGUGUUCGGGUUGUCAUGCCAAUGGCACUGCCCGGUAGCUAAAUGCGGAAGAGAUAAGUGCUGAAAGCAUCUAAGCACGAAACUUGCCCCGAGAUGAGUUCUCCCUGACCCUUUAAGGGUCCUGAAGGAACGUUGAAGACGACGACGUUGAUAGGCCGGGUGUGUAAGCGCAGCGAUGCGUUGAGCUAACCGGUACUAAUGAACCGUGAGGCUUAACCUU